Long non-coding RNA from Phyllostomus discolor (pale spear-nosed bat), 661 nucleotides. RefSeq lists it as uncharacterized. The record is from RefSeq and is a predicted model, not a curated record. The transcript has 2 exons. NCBI's taxonomy places the organism in Eukaryota, Metazoa, Chordata, Mammalia, Chiroptera, Phyllostomidae.
GUUAGAGCAGGUUUAAAGUACACACAACAGCAAGAUUGGUUUGGUUUUUUGUGCCUGGAGAACAUGGACACAAACCAUUUGCAGUGACCUGAGAAGGCAGCACCCGAGUAAGAAUGCACGUUGAGGGGGAGAAUGCUGCAAGUGGCAGGGGUGAUGGUGCCCAGAUGAGGAAGGAAAGGACACAGUAUGUCUGAGUAAUGACCUUUGUGCUGGAAUUGUUUUUGGUAUGAUUUCAAACUUGGGUCAAGCAGCUUCUCCCAUUCACACUGAUGCUCCAGUCCCCAUCUUCACCACUUCCCACUCCCUGACACCUCAAGCCUUCCUUGUCUGUCCUUAUCAUUCACCUUGCCAGCAAAUAAAAGGAGAGGGGCUGAGAGUGGAACUGCUGGGAGGAGCACUGGGAAGGCUUGUGAGUAUGCAAGCACAAGUGUAUAUAAAAUCAGGGCCAGGAGUAGCUAACAAUUUACUUAGAAAUAUAAAGCCAAAGUGAGGUAGGAUCCAGGGUGGGAAGUGGGGAUGGCUGGGGUGGGAGGACUGGUGGGUAGAAAAUGGAGACAACUGUACUUUAACAACAGUAAAAAUGGGGAAAAAAGUGGAAAAAAUUAAACUUAGCUAUAUGCAUUUGCAAAGAAAUAAAGUAGGUUUACUAUUCCCUAUUUUA